This 593-nucleotide ribosomal RNA is filed under the name uncultured bacterium. RNAcentral's name for it is "bacterial SSU rRNA". It matches the Rfam family "Bacterial small subunit ribosomal RNA", at positions 8 to 612 of the family's 1533-position model. The record is from RNAcentral.
AGAGUUUGAUCAUGGCUCAGAGUGAACGCUGGCGGCGUGCCUAACACAUGCAAGUCGAACGAGAACGGAUUACAGCUUGCUGUAAUUGUCAGCUAAGUGGCGCACGGGUGAGUAAUAUAUAGUUAAUCUGCCCCAAAGAAGAGAAUAAUUGUUGGAAACGACUUGUAAUGCUCUAUAUGCCUUUAUCACAUAAGUGAGCAAGGGAAAUAUUUAUAGCUUUGGGAUGAGACUGUACGGUAUCAGCUAGUUGGUGAGGUAAUGGCUCACCAAGGCUAUGACAUCUAACUGGUUUGAGAGGAUGAUCAGUCACACUGGAACUGAGACACGGUCCAGACUCCUACGGGAGGCAGCAGUGGGGAAUAUUGCACAAUGGAGGAAACUCUGAUGCAGCAACGCCGCGUGGAGGAUGACACAUUUCGGUGCGUAAACUCCUUUUAUAUGAGAAGAUAAUGACGGUAUCAUAUGAAUAAGCACCGGCUAACUCCGUGCCAGCAGCCGCGGUAAUACGGGGGGUGCAAGCGUUACUCGGAAUCACUGGGCGUAAAGAGCAUGUAGGCUGGUAAUUAAGUUGGAAGUGAAAUCCUAUGGCUCAA